This 216-nucleotide ribosomal RNA is filed under the name uncultured bacterium. RNAcentral describes it as "partial 16S ribosomal RNA". It matches the Rfam family "Bacterial small subunit ribosomal RNA", at positions 118 to 334 of the family's 1533-position model. The record is from RNAcentral.
UAUAUAAUCUGCCCUUAUCUGGAGGAUAGCCCGGAGAAAUUCGGAUUAAUACUCAUAAUAUUAUUGUUUGGCAUCAAAUGAUAAAUUAAAGCUCAGGCGGAUAAGGAUGAAUAUGCGACUGAUUAGUUUGUUGGUGAGGUAACGGCUCACCAAGACUACGAUCAGUAGGGGUACUGAGAGGUUAAACCCCCACACUGGUACUGAGACACGGACCAG